This 580-nucleotide ribosomal RNA is filed under the name Aurelia sp. 15 LGD-2017. RNAcentral's name for it is "partial 16S large subunit ribosomal RNA". It matches the Rfam family "Bacterial large subunit ribosomal RNA", at positions 1833 to 2574 of the family's 2925-position model. The record is from RNAcentral. Lineage: Eukaryota; Metazoa; Cnidaria; Scyphozoa; Semaeostomeae; Ulmaridae.
GCCCCGCAAAACCCUUGUGAGGUGUAGCCUGCCCAGUGGUUGUUAAUAAACUCUAAAGACAACUAAAUGGCCGCGGUAACUCUGACCGUGAUAAAGUAGCAUAAUCACUCGUCACUUAAUUGGUGACUGGAAUGAAUGGCUGAACGAACCUCCCUCUGUCUCUAAGAAAAUUCCGGCGAACUUGAAAUGGCAGUGAAGAUGCUGCCGAACAACUGCAAGACGAAAAGACCCUAUCGAGCUUUACUGGAAGCUUGCAAACCUAAAGGGGUGUUAACCUGCAUGCCCUGGAAGACUGCAAGCCCGACAGUUUGGUUGGGGCGACCACCCCUAAGAAAGUAUCAGGGGAACUCUAAAGGUGAUUACCAAAUGGAAAAUGCCUUACUGGAAACAAACAAGUCAAUCAGUUACUAUAGGUAGGACAUAGUGACCCGUUACAUAGGUCAUGAAAUGUAACGACUAGGAAAAAAGUUACCGUAGGGAUAACAGGGUAAUAUUUUCGGAGAGUUCAUAUCGAUGAAAAUGUUUGCCACCUCGAUGUUGAAUUGUGAUAUCCUAGGGGUGCAGCAGCUCCUAAGGGUUG